GCAGCCCGCCGGCGGCCAACUAAACUCUUGUUUCUAUAGUGAAUCUCUGAGUAAAAAACAUAAAUGAAUCAAAACUUUCAACAACGGAUCUCUUGGUUCUGGCAUCGAUGAAGAACGCAGCGAAAUGCGAUAAGUAAUGUGAAUUGCAGAAUUCAGUGAAUCAUCGAAUCUUUGAACGCACAUUGCGCCCUCUGGUAUUCCGGAGGGCAUGCCUGUUCGAGCGUCAUUUCAACMCUCAAGCCUGGCUUGGUGAUGGGGCACUGCCUGUGAAAGGGCAGGCCCUGAAAUCUAGUGGCGAGCUCGCCAGGACCCCGAGCGUAGUAGUUAUAUCUCGCUUUGKUAGGCCCUGGCGGUGCCCUGCCGUUAAACCCCCAACUUCUGAAAAUUUGACCUCGGAUCA
RNAcentral lists this ribosomal RNA (400 nucleotides) under Phomopsis sp. 2 JM-2013. RNAcentral describes it as "eukaryotic LSU rRNA". The stretch from base 73 to 226 matches the Rfam family "5.8S ribosomal RNA". The record is from RNAcentral. Lineage: Eukaryota; Fungi; Ascomycota; Sordariomycetes; Diaporthales; Diaporthaceae.